ACUCUCAUUUUUUGAAGAAAUGAAUGACAGAACCUGCCCCCUCUUGGGAACCUGACUGUGAUAAAGCAAUGUCUACUGCACCGACACGCCCAGACAUGGUGCCUUCAGACAAAGAAGAAGCGACACUCCCACUUUCAGUCGGUAACUGAACCUCAGAGAGGUCCAGUGAUUCUCCUUCGACU
RNAcentral lists this long non-coding RNA (182 nucleotides) under Ictidomys tridecemlineatus (thirteen-lined ground squirrel). RNAcentral describes it as "lncRNA (ENSSTOG00000032808.1)". The record is from RNAcentral. Lineage: Eukaryota; Metazoa; Chordata; Mammalia; Rodentia; Sciuridae.